CGAAGCAACGCGAAGUAACCUUACCAGGUCUUGACAUCCCGAUGCUAUUUCUAGAGUAUAGAAAGUUACUUCGGUACAUCGGUGACAGGUGGUGCAUGGUUGUCGUCAGGCUCGUGUCGUGAGAUGUUGGGUUAAGUCCCGCAACGAGCGCAACCCCUAUUGUUAGUUGCCAUCAUUCAGUUGGGCACUCUAGCGAGACUGCCGGUAAUAAACCGGAGGAAGUGGGAUGACGUCAAAUCAUCAUGCCCCUUAUGACCUGGGCUACACACGUGCUACAAUGGUUGGUACAACGAGUUGCGAGUCGGUGACGGCGAGCUAAUCUCUUAAAGCCAAUCUCAGUUCGGAUUGUAGGCUGCAACUCGCCUACAUGAAGUCGGAAUCGCUAGUAAUCGCGGAUCAGCACGCCGCGGUGAAUACGUUCCCGGGCCUU
Molecule: ribosomal RNA, 430 nt
Filed under: uncultured Streptococcus sp.
Lineage: Bacteria; Bacillati; Bacillota; Bacilli; Lactobacillales; Streptococcaceae
Description: bacterial SSU rRNA
Rfam family: Bacterial small subunit ribosomal RNA
Source: RNAcentral